UGGCCACAACACGUCGAAACACCGGUCCCCGUAUGAUCACCGAAGUUAAGCAACGUUGAGCCUGGUCAGUAUCUAGAUGGGUGACCGCUUGG
This is a non-coding RNA of Acanthosepion pharaonis, 92 nucleotides long. NCBI's taxonomy places the organism in Eukaryota, Metazoa, Mollusca, Cephalopoda, Sepiida, Sepiidae. The record is from the annotation of a GenBank genome assembly.